CCGAGAUAGGAGCCUCCGCGCUCGAACU
RNAcentral lists this small RNA (28 nucleotides) under Bombyx mori (domestic silkworm). RNAcentral's name for it is "ovarian small RNA-13796". The record is from RNAcentral. Lineage: Eukaryota; Metazoa; Arthropoda; Insecta; Lepidoptera; Bombycidae.